Molecule: long non-coding RNA, 1491 nt
Organism: Alligator sinensis (Chinese alligator)
Lineage: Eukaryota; Metazoa; Chordata; Crocodylia; Alligatoridae
Exons: 3
Source: RefSeq, a predicted model, not a curated record
UCUAUUACAGUUUAUUGAGAGAACAUUCAAUUGAUGGCACUGGCUGGGCUCCAACUAGAACAUUAAAGGAUCUCUUGAAUUUUGAUGAUCCUUUGAAUAUUGAGGCUGCAGAACACCAUUUGCGUGACAAGGAGGACUUUCGGAAUAAAGUUGAAGAUUACAUUAAGCGCUAUGCAAGAUGAUGGUGGGAGAUGGAUGGCAGGACCAUGGAUUUCACAGUAUAGAGUUGUCUUUAACUUUAAACAACACAAAAAACCUGGAUUGUACCAGUCCUGUGUCCAUGUUGUAUUGAAGAAGAAAACUAACUUCAUACUUGUCCAUAUUAAAAGGAGAGUUCAGCAUAAAUACAGCAAGAAAUUGUGUAUGUUGGUUGAAAAAAAGUUGUUUGCUUACUUAUAAAAUGUUUACUCUUCUGAAACUGUACUGUAUAUCCUGUUGAUGAGAGAUGCUUGAGAAAUUUUAAAAAAAAUCACUAUUGAAAUUGUAUUUACACUUUUUUUAAAUUUUCUUCUUGCCUACUAAAAAUAGUGAUGCGUUUCUGGAACACUUCAAAUUGGCAAUAAAAUGGUCUCCCUGUGACCCAAACCUUAAUGCUGUUGCAUUUGAUGGAGCAGAAAUAAUACCAACUUUCCUGGGAAGUCACUUAACAAAAGUGAUCAAAGUUUAAUGAAAUGCAUAAAAUGAAGUAUAUCUAAUAUAAAAAUUUUAGUCAAUGUAAGAACAUUUUGGCACAAAUUUGAAAUUUGUACUCUGCUGCUUUCAAUUCUUGUUUAGACAACAAUAUUUUAGUUUGUAUGCAUUUUGUGAGGUAGUUAAAAUUAACAGACUAAUCCAUAAUUUAAGUAUAUAUGUGUAGUAUUAGUAAAAAAUCAAAAUGUAUAUUUUGUGCAAGUGCAAUGAAAGACUAUUAAAAAAAGUCUUUGGUUUUCAGAUCUAGAUUUGGAGGUGAAAUUUUGGAGGCUUUUACAUAAAUUGGUGAACAUUUAUCCAAGCCCUAUUUGUUUGGAGACCCAUCAAAGUGUAUUUUCCACAUUUCUUCCCUCAAGAGCAAAAUACUGAUCUUUCAUUUUAAAAUAACACACGGUGCACCUUUAUUUAAGGCUCUUAUGAGGUGUUUUUUUUUUUAAUAAGAUGAAGGGAUGAUCAUUUUACUGUAAGUAGCUAUCUAUCAAAUAAAUAGUAAGGCUAUGUGAAAGCAGAAAUCCUUCAGGAAAGGGUAGUAGGGUAGUCGUGUGCCUCAGGAAUAGUUUCAAAGCACAUGCCAAGAAGCAUAUUAGGUCUGUUAUAUAAAAAAUAAUGCUGUGUUUAUUACAUAUCAUAGCUUCCCAUUACUUCUGUGGACUGACCAGAAUGAUAUCCAAUAUCCUAUUCAGUCCAGUGAUAAGUGAAUGAAGAGUCAUAGAAAUGGGAACAUGUAGUGGAGGCAAAAUGGAUUUGAUUCAAGAUUUUAUAAAUAGACAAACCAUAGAAAUAAAUGUUUGUGUGAUUUCA